UCCGAAGGUCCCGAUCGUUGUUCGGAAUCACUGGGCGUAAAGAGUAUGUAGGCGGCGUGGAAAGUCAGAUGUGAAAUCCCCGGGCUCAACCCGGGAACUGCAUCCGAUACUACCAUGCUCGAGUAAUGGAGGGGUGACUGGAAUUCUCGGUGUAGCAGUGAAAUGCGUAGAUAUCGAGAGGAACACUCGUGGCGAAGGCGAGUCACUGGACAUUUACUGACGCUGAGAUACGAAGGCCAGGGUAGCGAAAGGG
Molecule: ribosomal RNA, 253 nt
Filed under: uncultured bacterium
Lineage: Bacteria
Description: partial 16S ribosomal RNA
Rfam family: Bacterial small subunit ribosomal RNA
Source: RNAcentral